Rattus norvegicus (Norway rat) is the source of this 4346-nucleotide non-coding RNA. Lineage: Eukaryota; Metazoa; Chordata; Mammalia; Rodentia; Muridae. The record is from RefSeq and is a predicted model, not a curated record.
CUGUGUGCACAAAGGCCCAGCCUAGCAGCUAUGGAAGCUGACUCCUGGGACCACAGACUGCAUGCAGUUUGCAUGAAUUUUAUACUGCUCACAUGAAAAAUUAACUUCUAAUUCUGUAUAAGGUUUUAUAAUUCUAUUAUUUUGCAAAUGGUAAAUAUUAAAAUUGUAGAGCACAUUCAGUUUUAUCUUAAAGAAUAAAUGCUACUUGACAAAAAUGUUAAAAAGGGUUGGGUUAAUCAGAUUACUAUUAUAGUAUAAACCAAGUUAAUAUUUAUUUAUAUGACUGUAUUUUUCUAGGAAAUUUCCAAGGUGGAGUACUAGAUAGGUGAUACCACCCUAUUUUUCACGUUACACUGCUGCUCCAUUAUCUUUUACGUAUAUCAAGCAGCAAUCUUGACUUUACUUUGUCCUAAUUAUACACUGUCUUUUAUGCCUUUCUUUGUGGCUACAAUGAAUUAACACAAUAGCUAAUCUUAACAAAGCCAACCUAAAUAAUUAUGAGGACGUUCCUAAUUACAAGCGUUUCUUUUUUUUCAAGAGAAAAAGGUAAGUGCUGAACUCUGUGACAUACACAUGGAAAGACAUUUGUGUGGUCACUGACUGGAGCUCGUGAGGCACAAAGGACAAUGACACUUACUGCAGAGGAAGAGCCCCUGCGCAAUUCUUUUGUUCUGGGCUUUCUGAGCGGAAAUGACCUUAAAAUCUGGAGUGGGGAUAUAUGGAAGGCAGUGCUAGAGAUGGCACCCGCUUCACCAUUAAGCCAAGUCACUAGCCACAAAGACAGAAACUGUGCUUUGAUUGUCCAAGUUGCUCUGUGCCAGAAGAUGUUACAUCAGCCCUUUACCAUCCACCAUUUACUUCUCAGGGCUUCAGUUCCUGCUGGUCAGUCUGGCUUGGAAAUAGAGUGAACUAUCUCAGAAACGAACAAUUCCCAAGUUUUAAGCUGCAUGAUUUUUAAAAGCUUGAUAUGAGUAUCAUGAUGAAAUCUUAUGCUACACUGGCUCCAACCUACCCAGGAUGUGAAUUGUCUUUCUGCCCAGUGCAUCUACUUUGUACACCCUACUGACUCAGGAGUGACUGGGUAGCCAUCUUUGUUAUCAGACUGACUGUCUUGGUAUCAAUGCGUUUAUGUUUAAGCAAACAUCAUUUUAUUUAAUGAACCCAAAGCACAAGGGUAGCAAUAAUGGCUAUUCUAUUCUUAUAAUCACUGUUACUAUUAAUUGCAUGUGCUAAUUUAUAAAUUACAUUUGUCACAGACAUGCAUCUAUAGGAGAAAUGCAGCAUAUAUGGGUUUUGUCCCAGCCAUGGCUUCAGGAACCCACUACAGUCUUGAAAUGUACUUUUCUCAGGUGUCACCUGCAAAUAGCUUCUGGGACUUCAUAUCUACUUCUCUCUGCUGGGAUUUUGUGUAGCCUGAAUGUAAUGUGUUUUACCCGAGCAUAUGUUUAUACACCACUUGGAAGCCUCGUGACCGAAGAGGCCGGAAGAGUAUGCUGGAUUCCCGGCAACUGAAACUACAGGUGGUUGUGAGCUGCCACGUGGGUCCUCUGAAAGAGCAGCCAUGCUCCUAACUUUUGAGCCAUAUCUGCUAAAGAUGCAUGUAGUGACAAUGUCUUUUAACAGUGUUAGGACUCCUUUUAAAAUUCUAUAGUUCUAUGUUUGGAGAGAUGGUUUGGUGGUGAAGAGCGCUGGCUGCUCCUUCCAAGCCUGGAGGCCAGUUUCCAGCAUCCACAUCAUGAAGCUCACAAUGUGAAGUAACUCCAGCUCCAGUUAUCCAACAUCCUCUGCAGGCCUUCACAAUGACCUGAACACGUCUGGCAUGUAUACACACACACAUAUUAAAAAAAAUCCCUGGUUGUCAGAAACGAUGGUCAAUUAUGCAACCUUCCAUAAGAUACAACCACUGUCUUUGUUCACUAAUUUCUAUGUAACUGUAAAAUGAUCACAUCAGGAGGUAUACUUAAAAGUUUCUUUAACAAGGUGGUAAUUAUAGAUUACUGCUUUCUACAUGAUCUGAACAAUUACAAUCAUUUUUACCUUUCUCAAAAAUUCUAAAAUUAUAUAAUAACAUUGUUGGGGAUUAUAAUAUAGCAAAAGAUCUUUUAACAAGUGUUUUAAAUGAUAAAGAUUUAAGUUCAUCACAUGUAAAGUAUAAUACCUUACAUACUUUUCCUUUUUUAAUUUGAUUUAUAUGUGAAAGUGUUCUGCUUUCGUUCAUGUUAGUACACACAUGUGCCUGGUGCCUGUGCUUUUCAUGUUUUUGCUUUUGUCUUUUGAGACAGGAUUUCUCUGUGUAGCCCAGCUGUCUUGGAACUUGUUAUAUAGACCAGGCUGGCCUCGAACUCAAGAGAUCUGCCUACUUCUGCCCCGUGAAUGCUGGGAAGGGCACCACCACUGCUAGCUAGCCAGUGCUUUUGACUGUUGGUCCCCUACUCACAUUUUUUUUUCUUAGAGGGUUUCUAACUACUUUGGCAAUAUACACACUUUAUCUUACAAAAUCUUUGGUGUAGAUGUGCCAAUUUUUAAGCCAUAGGUCUACAUAAAGUUUGUGAAAAUAAUAAUGACCAAAUCAUAUUUAAAAGCUCCUUUCUUCCUUUUAGUCAUUAUAUGUUAAAUGGAAAUAAGCACCUUUAUUUAUAAUGUUUAUAAAUACAUUCACUAUGCUAGGCUCUAGAAAUAUAAAAGAAAGUGUACAUCUUUUAUAGGACCAGCCCUAUGUGCUUACAGUUCAGCAGAUGACAAUGAACAAAACUGUGUUAAAAACAUGCAGUAUAAUUCUUAGAAGAGUAACACUGCUGGAAAAUAAACAAAAGAGCCCAACUGGAAGCUAAAAAAGCCUGAAAACUCUGUAGAUAUGUGGUUCCAUCCUUUUUCAGAGGUUUACUUUAAAACUGACUUUAAAAGUUAACUUUUAAAAUUUACUCGAAUAUAUUAAAAUAUAUAAAUGUGAAAUGUAUUUCUCUUAGCCUAUUUGUCCUUGACAGAAGGGCCAACUAUAUCAAGACAUUAUAUAGAAGCUGCACAGAUGAAAACUUACAUAAAAAUUUUCCCAUUUAGUUCUCCAGACUAAGCCAAUCUAAAUUUAAGAUAACAAGUUUGUAUUUUUUAAUAGAAUUUAAUUUUCAAACCAGAUUUAGGUUCACAGAAAACUGAAUGUUGAGUACAGCAAGUUCUUGCAUACCCUCGGCCCACAUAUGUGUCAGCCCACCCACGAUCAACCCCCUGCACAGAGUGGUAUAUUUGUUACAGCAGAUGAACCUAUACCAACCCACCAUCAUCACAGAGUCUAAUCUAUGCUGAGUUCACUCUUGCUGUUGGACAUUCAAUCCUUUUCCAAGCAUGCAAUGGCAUAUAUCCGCUAUCACAGAACCACACAGAAUAGUUUUGCUCUCUUCUUAAAAAAUCCUAGGAACCACAGAUUUUUUUACUUUUUGACUUCCCCAAAUGUCACAGGAUUGGGAUAAUGUGUAUAAAGCCUUUUCAGAUUGUUUUCUUUUCACUUAGUAAUAAACAUUUACUACUAUUUCUUCCAUGUGCUUCGUGGCUUAAUCUUUUUUACUGCUGCAUACUAUGCCAUUGCUCUAUUCACCUACUGAAGUUCAUCUUAUUUGCUACUAGGUUUAGACAACGAUAGGCAAUUACAAACAUCUAUCUUCAGUUUUCUCUGCACCAAUGUUUGCAAUUAAUUUGAAGAGAUUCUAAUGAUUAUCACUGCUGGGUUAUACGGUCAAUGAUGUAUUCUGUAAAAACUUCGAUGCUGUAAACACAUACUUUUGUGUAGUAGCUGUGAUUUCCAAAGUCUCCUGCUGCACCAAUAAUUGGUUCCUAAAUACUAAACACAGAUAGGUGUGCUGUAAAAAGAGUAAGACAAAUAGAAGUAGAACAUAUGUCCCUCAGUAGCACUCCUGUGAAAGGGUGAACAUUUUCAAAGAUGAGUCACGAUAUUAAUCUUACAAAGCUCAUGGCCUUGGAUAAGGAACUAAGAAAUAAAUAUUCUUGCCCACAGUAGUGUUUUAUAACCAGGUAAACAGACUAAUUCUACCCUUUUAUCUUGGAAACUGCCCUACUCUUGAUCAGACUCGGCACUGCUGCCACAGUUUUAAAAGGCUGCCUGUUUAUUUGAUAUACAUUCCAGUUUGGUGCGAAGGAACUGCAUUACUAAAUAUAAACUACCCCCCAAAGAUAAAGACUCUUCCUUCCUUCUUAUCUGGACCAGCUUUAUGAAAAUGGAUGGAUAACGAGGUUGAACUCUAGGAUACUCCAAGAUGAAGAUGUCUUGGUAGGAACACUGACACCAGUGGUCUAGAUGUAAGUCAGAAGAUAAUUGGAUAUAAAUAGGCAAGCAC